Molecule: RNA transcript, 1562 nt
Organism: Cajanus cajan (pigeon pea)
Lineage: Eukaryota; Viridiplantae; Streptophyta; Magnoliopsida; Fabales; Fabaceae
Source: RefSeq, a predicted model, not a curated record
ACUUAAAAUCAAAAAAAGAAAAAAAAAGCAUGCUCGGCUUCGCUUCACGCCCAAACUUCUUCUGCUUCCGUCAAACGCUCAACAUAACGGGAGCUAAUUUGCGAUAAAACCAUUUCGCAAAUUGUCCAAGUUAGGGUUAGUGAUUUCGCAAGACCUUCUUUAAAUUUUCUCUUCUCUGCGUUGUUUUUCGAUUGAUUGCUUCCAUUUAAGGUUUUAGGUGGAACAAAUUUUUCAGAGAUUACGAAUUUGAGGUAAAGGAGUGUGAGUUGUAUACGCAUAUUGAGUGAACUUUAUAAGGAAAGCAUUUUGUGUGGCAGGUGUGUCUUCUCAUCUUUGUUUGCACGAAUCCAAGGCCAAGGAGAAUGGUAUGUCUUAUUAUGUCUCCUUUUCUGCAUCGUUAGAUCUCGCCCUCCUUUCAUCUUUUCAAUUUCUUCUUACUCUUCUUGUUUGCUUACUUAUUUUUUUUUUUUCUUUUUCACAUUUUUAAUUACUUUUUUGGGUGGAUAUUUUAUUCUCCCACUAGUUAUUUUCCUCUCUUCUUUCUAUUUCUAGUCCAUUAGUUUAAUUUAUUGGUCUGGCAAAUGGAUUUUUUCCCUCUUUUAUAUUAAGCAGGGGACCAAGCUAUGGCUCUUGGGGCAAAGUUCUCCCGGCUUUUGAAGAUAAUAGGGCUUCAAAAAUUGGGGUUAGGUUUGAUAAAUCAAUUCCAGAUGGCAAUGAUCUUGGUGGCCUUUGCGAAGAUGAUCGUGGGUUCUUUUGUUCUGCAAAUCAUUUACUACGAGUAGAUGGCUCUGGAGUGGAUGACCUUGGCAAAGUUGCAAUUAAUGAAAUGUUUAAGGAUAACUUGAGUAGACUGCAUGAUAGGAGCAAAGAAACCCACAGUCAUGAAGCAACUUAAUCGCCUUUUUCCAAACAAAGUGACUGUACAGUUGCCUCAGGACGAGGCUUUACUUUAUGACUGGAAGCAACGGUUAAAUCAUGACAUUGAAACUAUGAAAGCUCAGUCCAAUGUUGUCAACAUUCAAAGGUUUUAGGUGGAACAAAUUUUUUCAGAGAUUACAAAUUUGAGUGAUGGUUGAUUGUGACAUUGAUGGAAGACAAGCACAAUAGAGCCGGACAGAGGUUGACACAACGACGAAACAUGAUGACAGAAGGCAAUGCAACAACAAAGUGCUAAGCAUGGAAGACAAAAGACAUCACAACUUAGAGAGGAGGGAGACUCAACCGCAGGGCGCAAACCAACAAAGAAGCGCAACACAACAAUGGAACAGUAAAACAUGACAUAGCGACGAAGUACAACAUGAUACAAUGGCAAAGCACAACAAAAUGCGACCCAGUGGCAGAGUAGGACUUAACGUAGUGGUAGGGCACAAGGGAAUGCAACGCAACAACAAUUAAAGCAUGACUUAAUAAGGCAAUUGUAGCGCAUGAUGCAAUGCUAUGUAGCAACAGAGUAUAGCAUGUAACACAGUUGAUUUUAUGAUGUUUUAAUUCAAUUAUAUGAUUAUUGCUGUCUAGUUGUUAGUUAUUGUAGUAUUAUUGUUAAAAACUUUGGAGUUAAGGGA